RNAcentral lists this ribosomal RNA (508 nucleotides) under uncultured Sclerocystis. RNAcentral's name for it is "SSU rRNA". It matches the Rfam family "Eukaryotic small subunit ribosomal RNA", at positions 569 to 1078 of the family's 1831-position model. The record is from RNAcentral. Lineage: Eukaryota; Fungi; Glomeromycota; Glomeromycetes; Glomerales; Glomeraceae.
AGCAGCCGCGGUAAUUCCAGCUCCAAUAGCGUAUAUUAAAGUUGUUGCAGUUAAAAAGCUCGUAGUUGAAUUUCGGGAUUAGUAAGUUGGUCGUGCCUCUGGUAUGUACUGGCUUUACUGAUUCCUCCUUCUUGAAGAACUGUAAUGUCAUUAAUUUGGUGUUGCAGGGAAACAGGACUGUUACUUUGAAAAAAUUAGAGUGUUUAAAGCAGGCUAACGCUUGAAUACAUUAGCAUGGAAUAAUGAAAUAGGACGUUUGAUCCUAUUUUGUUGGUUUCUAGGAUUGACGUAAUGAUUAAUAGGGAUAGUUGGGGGCAUUAGUAUUCAAUUGUCAGAGGUGAAAUUCUUGGAUUUAUUGAAGACUAACUACUGCGAAAGCAUUUGCCAAGGAUGUUUUCAUUAAUCAAGAACGAAAGUUAGGGGAUCGAAGACGAUCAGAUACCGUCGUAGUCUUAACCAUAAACUAUGCCGACUAGGGAAAGGAUGAUGUUAAUUUUUUAAUGACUCA